RNAcentral lists this long non-coding RNA (1566 nucleotides) under Homo sapiens (human). Its description in RNAcentral is "PREDICTED lncRNA (TCONS_00182894)". The record is from RNAcentral. Lineage: Eukaryota; Metazoa; Chordata; Mammalia; Primates; Hominidae.
ACAGAUGAGAAAACUGAAACAUUGAGAAGUCAAGUAACUUGCUCAAGAUUAUAUAGCUAGUGCAUAGAGGGGCAAAGAUUUGAACCAGAUUGCCUGGUUCCACAUGCACUUUAACCUGCUUUAUUUAGGCUUUUGAAAGCAACCUAAAUAGCUAACAUUGACUAAAUAAGUGCAGUAUACCUGGUCUGUGUGACAUUUUGCAGGUAUUAAAAAGUGAACAUUCUGAACCCUUUUAGCAAUAUGGCAAAUACUUCUGAUGUGAUGUAUGCAUAUAAAUAUGAUCGAAAGCAAAUAUCCCAAAAGGUUGAUGGCAGUUAUGUCAGGUUAGUAGCACAAUAGUUUCUUUUCUCAUUUUCUCACAUUUUUAGUAAUGUGUGUUGCCUAUAUUAAAAAACAAAUAUUAAAAAGUAGUAGCAUGUAUUAGAUCAGAGCAUGGGCUCAGACUGCCUGUGUCAUCUCUUAUUAGAUGUAUGACCAGGGACAAGUUAUUGACCUUUUGUUUCUAAGUCUCUAAGUUUAUCCUGUAAAAUGAAGAUAAUUGUAGUAACUACCUAAUAACAUGAUUGUAAGGAUUAAAUUAUUUAGAACACUAUUUGUUACUUGGAAAAUAUGCAAUCAUAAGCUAUUUUGUUGUUAUUGUUAUUUUACUACCAAAGCUUAUUGUUUCAGAGCCCCUAGGUGACCAGGCAAAAUGGCAGUUCCUUCCAGCUGGUCCUCAGAUGGGCACAUCUAUUAGCCUCUGCUCUUGUAAGAAGUUAGCUGCAGAACCCACAUGUGAAUCCUUGUAGGACUCUGGAGAAGAUCAAAUGGGAGCUUAGAUGUGGAAGCUCUUUGGAAACCAAGAAACACUCUGAAAAUGAAAAGGGUGGAAGAGUAAACUGUUCCUGUUUCUCCAUCUUGACAGGAAGCAGAAGUUCUCCUUAGCUGAUUUUUCUUCUUGCCUUAUACUGGGUUCUUUAACACCAGAACAAAAAUAAAUAAAUAAAAGAAUCUUCCAGAAAUUCAUGAAGAGACUUCAGGUCAGGAAAGCCUGAACUUUCUCAUCCAACACCCGUUCAAGUCGGAGGAUGCUGAUUAAUUCAUGAUGGAAAGGUAUCAAUUUCACAGCCCAGACCUCUACAUUCUUGAAAUGCUCUUCUCAUGGGAGACAUUAAAUAAGCUUUGAAUUAACUGAGACCUCUGUGGAUUCUAUAACUCAAAGACCCAGGCUGACGGCUGGUGGAAUAGCUACCAUCUCAAACAUGGCGUGAUGCUGCAUCAGAGAGAAAAAUAAGCUCUUGCAUUGACAAUGAAAUGUCUACCCUGUAGUGACUUGUGCUUACUUCCACUCACAAGUGAUUGCCCAGAGCUACUUACCUGGCUCCAAUCUACCACUGGGACCUUGUAUUGAAGACAGCGUAACCCCCAAGAGGAAAGGAGCUUGGAGCCCUGAAUCAGAGUAGAAGACAGGCUGAAUGAAUACCAGCCUUGGACUGUUGUGUGAAUGAAAAACAAGUUUUGAGAUUUGUGUGGUUUAUUUAUUAUAGUUACUGUUAUUAUUAAAGUUUUUCACUGCUUUACUCUCAG